GAUGAACGCUGGCGGCGUGCCUAAUACAUGCAAGUCGAGCGAACAGACGCGGAGCUUGCUCCUCUGACGUUAGCGGCGGACGGGUGAGUAACACGUGGAUAACCUACCUAUAAGACUGGGAUAACUUCGGGAAACCGGAGAAAAUACCGUAUAACAUAUUGAACCGAGUGGUUCAAUAGUGAAAGACGGUUUGGCUGUCACGAAUAGAUGGAUCCGCGCCGCAGUAGCGAGUUGGUAAGGUAACGGCUUACCAAGGCAACGAUGCGUAGCCGACCUGAGAGGGUGAUCGGCCACUCUGGAACUGAGACACGGUCCCGACUCCUACGGGAGGCAGCAGUAGGGCAUCUUCCGCAAAGGGCGAAAGCCUGACGGAGUAACGCCGCGUGAGUGAUGCACGUCUUCGGAUCGUAAAGCUCUGUUAUUAGGGAAGAACAAAUGUGUAAGUACCUAUGCGCAUCUUGACGGUACCUAAUCAGAAAGCCCCGGCUAACUACGUG
Molecule: ribosomal RNA, 497 nt
Filed under: uncultured bacterium
Lineage: Bacteria
Description: partial 16S ribosomal RNA
Rfam family: Bacterial small subunit ribosomal RNA
Source: RNAcentral